RNAcentral lists this transfer RNA (69 nucleotides) under Ophiarachnella infernalis. Its description in RNAcentral is "tRNA-Ser". The record is from RNAcentral. Lineage: Eukaryota; Metazoa; Echinodermata; Ophiuroidea; Amphilepidida; Ophiodermatidae.
CGAGAGUAAAAGUAUGUCCAUGGCCCGCUAAGUCGUUGGACCUACAGUUUAACUCUGUAGUACUCUCGA